UCCAAGGAAGGCAGCAGGCGC
Molecule: non-coding RNA, 21 nt
Filed under: Arabidopsis thaliana (thale cress)
Lineage: Eukaryota; Viridiplantae; Streptophyta; Magnoliopsida; Brassicales; Brassicaceae
Also listed under: 2 other names
Source: RNAcentral